GAAGCCACAUAUUUCUACAUCAGUUGCAGCUUUAUGGGGAACUAGCAGUGGGGCUGGUGGGUGCAACCGAAAGGUUUCUUUAACUAUGGAUUGUAAGUAAGGGAACUUCGAGAUGUCUGAUUCUUGAACUAUCCCUUCAUUCCCAAGGACUCCUCGGAUCUCCUUUUGAGCUUUUGCCAUUUUUUCCGGGUUGCUUAGUAACUCUGCCAUUGCCCACUCUACUGUGCUUGAAAUCGUGUCAGUUCCCGCAACAAAGAGAUCCUGAUCAUACAAAGCAAUGUUAGAAUUAAGGUUUCAUUGAUCAUAAUUUGCAAUUUGCACUUACCAAUGUUUUCUACAUGAAAGCUCAAGAAAAAUGUGUGCAAGAAGAAACUCCAAGGAAGACUGACUUCUAAUUGAUUGUUUACUUAAAUUUUCUAGGUCAAUUCAGUUUAAUAACUAUAACAAAUUUCAUAAAUGCAUCAAAUUGAAUGUGACAUAUGUGUAUAAAGAUGAAGACUUUUUAGCCAAAUGAAUUCAUUUUCCUCCACAAUAUCCGGUUUCCAUAAUUGGGUUUGAGGAGUUCUGAAGGAAUUAAUGAAUUUUUGGACAUUUAAAUAAAGAUUAAUAGGGUAAAAGAUAGAGAGAAGAAACCAUGGGAAAACAUAAGUUCAACGAAGGAAUUUGAUUUUCAAAUGUUUUAUUGAAUUUGAUUGAUUAAGAGUGUGUUUAAGAGCAUUUUUAUUUUUAUUUUUGUUUUUAAUUGAAUUAAUUUUCUAAAACUUUUUUUACGAGAGAAUCAUGAAUUAAUGAUUUCUCAAAAAAGAAAAUUAUAAGUAAUUUUAAAUAUAUAUUUUUUCAAAUAUUUUAUAAAUUUUAUUAAAUAUAUUAUUUUUCUACCAAGACAAGAAAAUAUUUUUGAAGUAACUCUAAGUGUCGUAUAUAAAAGAAUAAAAACAUAGAGAUGAAACUUACCUUGAUAGGGAAGGCACACAACAAAAAUAAUAAUCACCAUGCUGACGAGCUUCACCCAUAAAAGCAUUUUAUUCGUGAAAUUAACUACGAAUCCCAAAAAUUUGUUUUGAAAGAUUAUGGGCCACAACCAAAAGAAAGGACAAAAUUCUUAAUAAACCUAUCAUGAAAAACCAUAAAUAUUGAGGAAAAAUACACUAUCCAAAAAACAAUAUAUUAUCAUUCAAAGAGGCAAAGGGUGUUUGAUAAAAUUUAAUAUUUACAAUUUUAUAACUUGAGUUAAUUUUAAUUAAAUUAUUUUUAGGUUGUUUAUUGAUUUGAAGCUUAUUACUUUAUUUUUAUUAUAAGUAUCAAUGUUAUUUGAUAAAAUUAGUUUAAAAUUAAUUCUAAAUUAUCAAAUUUACAUAUUUAGCCUCAUCAAUUUUAACUAAUAUUUAUAUUUUCACUUAUAUUAAUUAAUAAAUUUAUUUGUUAAAUAUUCAUAUUUAAAGUAUUAUAGAUAUAUAAGUUAACUCCAAAAAUGUUUAUUAUAAAAGAUGAGUUGUGAAUAUAAAGUUAUAGUUCUAAAAUAUGUUCCAAGUAAACACGGAUAAAUAAGUUAAAAGAAAUUUAAGAUAAAAAAAACAAAUUAGUUAUUUUGACUUAAUACUUAAAAUUGAUUUUGAUUUUAAACUGUAAUAUUAAGUUAUUAGAUUAAAUUAAGUUAUUAAAUUGAUUUACCGGGUAACAUUCAACUUUUUUACCUAUACAAAUAUACCCUAAAAGAAAAAUAUAAAAUAAUGUAUGCUUGCCUUAAUGGUUCUUUACUAAUCCUCAAAAGAACAGUUUAAGGAUAUAUUGGUAAAAUAAAAUAAAAUAAAAAAUCAUUAUAUUUUAUUUCUUUUCUAUGUGAUCUUACCUUUUUAGUAGAAGAUUAGUUAUCACUAUUUCCUUUAAUUUUAGGUUUUUAUUUAAAUAAAAGUGGUCUUUUUGAAAGUAAUUUAGGAGAUGUUUGGAAACUAUUCUUAAAACAACAAUUUUCAAACUUAAAAAAUACUUAUAAUAAAUUUUUUUAUUGAAAAUGGUAUUUUAAAAAUUUGUUUUGAAAAUAAGGUUUAAUAAGGAAAAUGCUUUGAGAACUUUUUUUAUUAUAUAUUAAUGUAACUAUUUUAGUAUAAUUUUAUUCUUAAAAAUUAGUUUUAAAAAUUAUUUUAAAUAAACAUUCUUUAAAAAACUAUUCUAAAAAAUAUUGUCAAAGGGAUAAUCACGGAUAAUUAUGAUCUUAAGUGAUUUAAGAUUAUAUUAAGGUGGUGUUUGUUUUUAUAUUGAACAAAAAAAAUCAAAAUAUUGAAUUUUUUUUAUUCAAUUAAAAGUAGUAUAUUAAUAUCAAUUAAUAUAAUUAAAAUAAAUUUGUUAUUAAUAUUUAGUUUAUAUAAAUGGAUUACUUUUACUUGAAUAAAAAAAUUAAAGAUUUAAAUUUUUUCCAUUGACCCAAAAAACAAAGACGACCUAGUUCUUUGAGUCCACUGCCCUCGGAAGUAGGAAAUAUUUGAGUCCUUUGGAAUGGUGGAUGGAAAAUAAUUGUGUAAGGUCUUUUGCCCAAUCACAAAAGUCUUGGCUUUCACAAUCAUCACCUUAUCAAAAUGGUUUACAAUUCAGCCACUGCGCAUUCAAUCACGAUUAUUGCCAUUGGAUAAUUGGCCUAGGGCUAUACGAAAGGGCCCUUCUUUCCUUUUCCUCACACCUCUCACAUCUUGGAGUUAAGUGAAGAAAAGAAGUGUGAUGUAGACGGAUUGAGAGAUCAUGCAUGCUUUUAGGGUUGAAGAAAAGGCAAUAGGGUUUAGCAAUUAAUACAAAUAUCAUAUCUAGAAAUAAUAAAAAAGAAGCAUGAAAAUAUCGAUACACACCAUAUAUAUAUAUAUAUAUAUAUAUAUAUCGGUAAUUAGAUUUUACUAAAAAUAUUAUUGUUUAUUUUAAAAAAAAUAUUGAUGAGAUGAAAAUUUAUUUAAAAUUUAUUAAAAUAUUUGAAAAAGUUUUAAAUGAUAAAAAAAAAAAAACAAAUAUUAAAGUUAAAAUUAUUUUUAAGUAUAAUUGAUGUAUAUAUAAUUAAGGAUAAUAUUUAUCAAUUUUUUUGAAAAAAAAUAUCUCAAAUUCUUUUAAUAUAUUUAUAUUUAUUUAUUUUAAAAAUUAAAAUUUAUUUUUAUUAAAUAUGUUUUAUUAUAUUUUAAAUAAAAAAUUAAAGUCUUUUUAAGAUUUAUAUAAAAUAUUUUAUUUGAAAUUUAAUUUCUAAAAUUUUAUUACUUGUGGUAACAACUUUUUGAAGAAUAAUUUAUUUAAAUAAUUAAAAUUAAAAAAUUAUAUUAAUAAUUUAUCUUAUCAAAUUAAUUUUAAUUUAUAAAAUAUUAUACCUUCAUUAUUAUUUUUAAUAUAUAUAUAUAUAUAUAUAUAUAUAUAUAUUAGUAAUUUUUUUGAAUAAAUUUGUAUUUUUAAUAUUUUAAAAUAAAAACAUUCAAAAUUAAAAUGAUAAAUAUAAAGAAAUUAAAAAAUGAAGUGAUAGUUUAAAAUAUGAUUAACGAGAUAAAUGAUGAUAUAUUUAAUAUUAAAACUAUAAUUUAUUUAGUUCAAAUGCAUUCAACAAUGUAAAAUAAAUGACGAUGUAUAUAUUAUUUUUUUAAUUUUUAUAUUUAAUUAUCAUAUAAAUGAUAUAAAAAAAGACUUGUUAAGAAAAUUAUAAGAAGGGCUUUUAUACUUUUAUUAAUCAAUUAAAUAAAAUAAUUAGAAUUAAUUAAUUUUUUUUAAUAAUGUUUUUUUAAACAUAUUUAUGUUUAUGAACAUUUAUUAAUAAAAGUGGAUUUGUAGCGUAAAAAUUUAGAAUGAGUUGAUCGGCGAAAAGGCCGAUAAAUGCUAAUAUUUCGAAGAUAUAAUAAUUCUCGUUUAAUUUGUUUUUAGGAACUCAAACAUAAAAAAUAAUUUUUUGAGCUCAUUAAUUCUCUAUAAAGUAGUACUAUAUACUUAUGCAAUAAAAAGUUUUCAAAAUAUUCUUUAUUUUCAAUUAUUAUUCAAAAUAUUUUACAAAAAAAUAACUCGUUCUAAAAAUUAACCUUUUCAUAACAAAUUCUUAAAAAAAAAAAAAGUUUUCUAUCAAUGGUAAACAUGUUUUCUAAAUUAUAAAAUAAUUUCUUUAUUUUAAAGAAUAAAAAAGUGUUUGCAAUUUUUUUGUUAAAUCAUUAAAAAAUCUUGAAAUAUCUUUACACGGUCACGUAUCAUAUAAAAACAAUUUUACAAUAUAGAAUUUCAUGAAAAAUGUGGCAUGAUUCAUUAAAGUAAAAUGUUAUACGCACAAAGCAUUAGAUAUAUUAUACUUUGACAGUUGACAAAUAUAAAUUUUAUCAUAAUGAUAAAGUGUCUCUUCUUAUACCUCUAAUCAAUCCUUUGAUGUUUCAUUGUUAGAAUAGUUCAAUCUCAUUAUAAAAUAAUGAAAGGUAUAAGACUAUAAAUAUCUUUAUAAACAGUUGUAAAAGAUAAAUAAAUAAACUUACAAUUAAGUUGGAAAAUGACAUUUAUCUUUAUCAUUGAGGCACAUUAAUAUAUGGAGUCAAAGCUUAAGUUUUGCAACAACAACAAUAAUAAUGAAAGCUUGCAAAACCCAUAUAUAAAUGUGAUAUAACAUAAAUAUGACUAAAUUUUGAUUGGAAUAGUAUGUUCUUGUAGGAAUGACAACAGGGCAAGUUUAGGAUAAGUUGCUCCAUCUCAACCUCACAUCGUUUAUUUAAAAUAAUUAUUAUCCCCAUUCUAUUAAAAAAAUUAAAUGGGUUAAGUCAAAACGACAUGGGUAUAUGAAUUUCCAUACUCGUCUCAUCUUGUCUUAUUUAACUUUUUGUCAUAAUAUUUUAAUUUUUUUUAAUUACAUUAAAAUAAAUAUAUUUUAUAAAUAAUUAAAAUAUUAUAAUUUUUAUAACUUAUCUUAUUGAAAAGUAUUUCAUUAUUAUUAUUAUUAUUAUUAUAUAUUAAAAAUAUGAAAAUAAAAAUUAAAUUAAUUUAAUUUUAUAUAUAAUUGGAACGAGGUAGAGAGGGAUAAGACAAUAUCCAAACCUGUUUUAAACCCAUCUCGGGUUUUAAAAAAAAUAUCAAACUCAUUCCAUUAUGGAUAGGGCAGGACGAGUACUCGAAAAAACCCCUCAUCCCAAUAUGCUAUGCUUUCUGCAAUGUAAACCCAAACUUCUCACUCAUGUCUAUAUCUUUAGGUAUCAUCGCAUCUCCAAGCUCCUAACAAAAGGAACAAAGAAGAGAAGCCAACAUCAAAUGAAUUGUUAACUUAAGUUCUAAGUCAAUUUUAGUCCAAUAACUUCAACCAAUUUCAUUAUUGGAGUAAUUGUUUAAGCAAAAAAGCAGGAAAUAAUACAUAGCUGGUGGGGAAGUUACUAGGGAUUGAGGAAUAGACGGAGGAAGAAAGAGAGAAAUUAAGAGAAGAUGAAAUCACUCUCUGAUUAUUAGAAGUCAUCUUUUCCUUAAAGCUAAUUAGAAGCACACUAGUUCAACUAAAUGAUUAGGAAAUUCAAUGUCCCAUGGAUCACACUGUGCAUUGAGAUUCAUAUUCUAGGGACAUAUAAACAGGUAACAAAAUUAGAUCAUUCCAUAUUAUUUUCCAAACUACUUGACACAUGCCAUCUCAAUUGCCUUGAAUUCAGUCAUUAAACUUACAAUUAAUUGUUAUCAUCGAUACAAAAAAAAUUGCAAGAAGUCAUCUUUUGAACUCCAAAAGUCGGUCCUAACUUUAUGAAGUUGGACGGUUUGAAAUGCAAAGUUACAUGGAAUGAAAUAGACUUCCCAUGGCCCCUAAAUUGGAAAUCAGUGAUUAGUAACUGUCAAGAGAGAUUGAGAUACGUACCCAUUGUGAGAUUCAAACGAAUCAUAGAGAGAAAAAGAAAGGAAAAUCUAGGGUUUUUUUUAUUAUGACCCUACUUAGAAAAUAGUUACAACAUAAAUAGAGUUUAAAUAGGUUUACAAUUAAAGAAAAUAAAGAAAGAUAAUAAUUCUAAUAUAGUAAUAAAUAACUCUAACAAAUAAAUAACACUAAACAUCCCCCCACAAACUCACAAUGUACCUGGAAGAAGCAUUAAGAGUUCACCACCGAAAAUUGAAAGCACAAAAGCGGGUGGUAAACAAGUCUGCAAUCUGUAAAGAAGAAGGAACAGAAGGCAAGGUAAGAAUAUCGUGUUGAAGGUGAUGGCGAGUAAAAUAACAAUCAAUCUUAACAUGUUUCCUCCUUUCAUGAAAGACAGACUUGUAUGCAAUUUGAACAAUACUCUUGUUGUCACAAUAAACAGGAGUGAGACAAGAAAAUGAAACACCCAUAUAUAUCAACAAAUAACUAACACAACCAAACUAUAUCUAAUUAGUGGUAGAUGUCAUAGAACGAUGUUCCAACUUUUAUGGAAUAUUAAGAAAUGAUAGACUAUUACUUGCUCUUAAAAGAAAUAAAAGAAUCAACAUCAUAAUAUGCACGUAGCUCCAAAAGAGGAAGUGGACAGAAGUAAAAGACAUUGAAAUAAAAUGCCUUGGAGAUGUCGUAGAAUACACGUAGCUUAAUGAAUUAUAACAAGAUAAGCAACAAAUUGACUAAUAAUGUGAACAACAUAAGUAAUGUUCAAAUGUGUGAUUGUGAGAUAGACCAAGCUACCAACAAUGGCACAAUGUAAAGUAGGGUCUAGUUAGAGGGUACCACCAAAAAAAAAAAAAUAUACCGAACAUUAACCUUAAAAAGGUUAUCAACAAUCUUAGUAUCAGUAAGGCGAACAUGAUCAAGAAUGUCAACUAUGUACUUAGACUACCAAAGAAUAAAACUUUUCGGAGAACAAGCUACCUUAAUACCUAAAAAGUGUCAUGGAGACCUCAAAACUUUCAUUUCAAAAUGAAAAGCUAAUUAGGAAUACCUAAAUAUCUUUAUUUCCAUCCCUAGACUUCCAUGGUACAUGUAUAACUAACGUAAGGUCCUCUAGAUCUAUAUACAAUGAAAGCAAUAGUAUUUAAAAACUUAGACAUAUAGAUAAGAAGGUCAUAUUGGUGAUCUGAAUGUUCACAAAUAAACUCCAAUUGAAAAAAAUGCAUCGUAGAUCUUGAAAACCAAACAGUCUUCCACCCAAUAGCUCUCUUUCUUGGAUCUUGGCAUGAGAAGACAUUGAAUCCUUUCUAAAAAUGGUGGAGCCUAGGGUUCCUCUUUAGAGUCUGAAAGAUUGAAGAUCUCCUAAAACCCUAACCUAUAAGGGGGUUUAUAUAAUUUUCUCUAUAAGCUUAAGUGACUUAAGCCCAUUUUAGGCUUUGGUCACUUAAUUUAGCCUACUUAACUCCUAAUUAAUUAAUUAGCUCUAUUGGGCUCUAAUAAAUUAAUUAGUCCAAUUCAAAAAGACCAUUCAUAAUUAGUUUGUGUGCAACCUUAUAUUUUUACUAAAAUGCCCUUAUGCAUACAUAUGAAUAAAGAACCCAAAUACCCCCUUAAUAAAAAUGUCACUAAGGAAUAUGAGCUUGAUCAAGAAUUACUAUGACCCAUAAAAAAAUAUUGGCUAAUCUAAUUCUCAAGUUGACUUGAUAUCUCACUAUAGUAGGUAAACUGCACUAUAAUAUCUUACGAAUUAGUGUCUACGAUAUAAAUUUGAGUUUAUGACCUAUUAUAUAUCCACCGUAUACAGACUCCCCAUGAAUUAGUGUCUACAAUCUAAUGAAGUAGAUUUUAUUAACGUCUCAAGAUUACCUCUACAAUCCUUGAGUCUCAUAUCCUUAUAUUAUGUAAUUAAUCGACAUAGUCUAGCUUUCUAAGAGUAUAUGUCAAAUUCCAGUAAAACAAUUAUUAUAACCAUAGAUUUCCAAUCAUAUGUGAUUAGGACCAUCCAAGGGGACACACGGUCUCAAACCCAUGAGAUAUCAUAAAUUAAAAGUUCCAUUAAAAUCUACCUUGUUAUGACGGCCCACCCCUCCUUGCAAGCGUCAUCCUCGUAAGACAGAUUCUCCUCUCUAGUUUAAAGAUUGAGAUGGAGACACCAUCCUACAAAGGGAAAUUAACUUGUAAUCAAAUAAAUUAUGUCAGAGCAGCAUAAAGAAGCAUAUUGAAGGGACUAUGUAAUCAUUACUUUUCCAAGAUACAAAGUUUUGAGUAAAUAAAAACUGGCUUUAAGGAGCCGAAAACUUGUACAUACCUAAGGAAAUGGCUACAUCUUAGUAGUAUAUCCAAAAAAAAAAAAAGCAAAAAGAAAAAGACAACAAUGGAUAUAUGCCUUAUUAUCUAUUUUCUGAAACUUGCUCAGUAUUUGGUUCUACUAGGUCCUCAUCUGAAAAUUUUGGGGAACUAUAAAAUGAGUAUAACUGAGUGAAUGAUCAUAUAAUGCAGGUUUUAGGAUGGUCAAUCUAAGAUAGAAAAAAGUAUUUCAUCAUGCAUGUAACACUCAAUGUAAAUAAUAUAUAGUAUAACAAUCAAGUAGGCAUACAACAUCGAACACCCCGAUGUAUAAUCAAUCAAACAUAUGCAUAAUCCACGAUUACGGUACCAUUCCAACUCUUGGCACAUCCAAAUAUCAUGAAAUAUAAUUGCCACCAUUGUCUCUUUCUUUACCGGCGUAUAUCACAUAUGUGUCUACAAACGUCAUAUAUCUCAUAUAACACGGUGUCAUAUAGACACAAUGCCCCUACAUCUCUUGGCACACUUUCCAUACAAACUGUUCCAGUGCCCCUUAGUCUCUUAGCACAAAAGAUUACUAGGUUAAUCGGCUACUGUGUGUCCCUCCAUCUCUACAAUACAAUAUAAGUCCAAGGCAUAUUACAACCACAUGCAUAGUAAUAAUAUAAAGUACAAUAACGAUAGUGCCAGUGAUUUUUAGUGAAUAGUACGUACUAGGUAAUCUCUCAAGAAAGAUUGAAAGGGCUUAAAACUCAGCCUCUUUAGAUAGAGCUUCCCUAAACCAUAUCCAUCCAUUCAUAAUCAUAGAACCAUCUUAAAUAUAUAUAUAUAUAUAUAUAUAUAUAUAUAUAUAUAUCAAUGAUACAGGGAACACAUUUAAUAUAAACACAACAUUUGACCAACAUAUUUUCAAAGCAUAUCUCAUGAUAUUUCAAAAAUAAUGAAUACAUAUAUCACACUUGAAACAUAAGAUAUAUAAUUUUAAAACCAUAUAAAAUCAUGUAUUAUAAGAUCACUCAUCUUUUAGAUUGGAAUUAUUGCACUACAUCCAUUACGAUGACUUAAAGAUCCAACUUUUAGAAUAACACCACUAUAGGAGUUUUUUCAUACUUCUUUCCUUUCCUUUCUUAGUAGGUGAAUGCCCUAUUUAUAGGAACCCAAAGUAGGUGAAACACAUAGGAGACUCGUCGCUAGAUGUCGAUCAAAGGGUAGUGAUUAGUGUUUCACUUAUUACAUGGAGACGACACAUGGCACAUGCUUAAUCCUUGCAGGUACUUGAUAGGUACAACAACUUGCUGGAGAUGACAUGUGGCAUGUGUUUAAUCCUUGUAGCUGCUUGGUAGGUGCAGCAACUUGUUGGAAACAACAUGUGACGUGUGCUUAAUCCAUGCAAUUGCUUAGUAAGUGCAACAACUUUUUGGAAAUGACAUGUGGCACAUGCUUAAUCCUUGCAGCUACUUGGUAGGUGUAGCAGCUUGCUAGAGAUAACACGUGGCACAUGUUUAAUCCUUGCAACUGCUUGGCAAGAACAACAACUUGUUGAGUCACCAUGUCAUACUAGUAUCAAGCGAUGAAGGUGGCUUAGUGUCCUCUAGGUUGCAUGCAUUUCCACACCUCGUACUUGGUUGCAUAUGUUGGACACCUCAUGUUUGGUUGCAUGCCUUGGACACCUCAUGUUUGGUUGCAUGCCUUGGACACCUCAUGUUUGGUUGCAUGCCUUGGACACCUCAUGCUUGGUUACAUGCUUAGACACCUCAUGCUUGGUUACAUGUUUGGAUACCUCGUGCUUGGUUGUAUGUCUAGACACCUCAUGCUUGGUUGCAUGCUUGAACACCUUGUACUUGGUUGCAUGCCUAGACACCUUGUGCUUGGUUGGAUGCCUUGGAUACCUCUUGCUUGAUUGCAUGCUCUUUGACACCUCAUAUUUGAUUGCAUGCCUUGGACACCUCCUGCUUGAUUGCAUCCUCUUUGACACCUCAUACUUGAUUGCAUGCUUAUUGACGCUUAAUGCUUGGUUGCAUGCCUUGGAGACCUCAUCCUUGGUUGCAUGCAUUAAUGUGAUACCUUAAGCUUAGUAAAGGAUAGAUAAGAGGGUGAUUCUCUUACUUGCUUAGUAAGAAGGUGGCUAAAAGGAACUUUAGAAGUAUUAAUAUUAAAAACUAGGGAUGUUACACUUGCUCUAAUACAUAUAUACGAAUAAGAUUUAAAACAAUCAGAGAAAAAAAAAUUAAGACAUCUUAUUAUGACCACUUAAAAAAUACAUAGAACACAAAUAAAGUUUAAAUAAGUUUAAUUACAAUUAAAAAAUUAAAAAAAAACAAAAAAACAAAUCAAUUUACCCUUACUUUUAAAAAGAAAGAUAAUAGUUCUAACAUAAUAAAUAAAUAUUUCUAACACCCACCAAAACCAAAUGAAUUACAUCACUACAGCUCCACUCAUUCCCAUUUUCCUUGGUAAUUUGAAGGAGGGCAUCUGGUAAUUGCAACCGUUGAUUGAUAUUACUAAAAACAUAACUUUUCAUGGUUUGCAUCUUGCCAUGUGGGUCAAUUUAUAAUCUAAAGGCAGAGAAAUAAUCUACAAUCAGCCCUUCAGCUAUCUUUGCCACUAAAAUUACUUUUUUAGCGGCAUCUCAUUAAAAGGUGAAAAAAAAGGUAUGUUUGUAUGACUUUCAUAGAUUGAUUCACGAUGCGGGAAAUGAAAUAUGCAAAAUAAAUACAAAUUCCUACGUGAAAUAAGGUAUUUGAGUAACCACGAUGAAGAUGAUAACCAAGCAUUCGUGUUCGACAACUAUACAAAUCAUCCAUGCAAAAAAAAAAAAAACUUGAAAACGGUUGUGUUAACAUGAACAUGACCUUAUUCCAAAUCCUAAAGAAUAUUUUUCAGUUACACAUUAAACCAAUGGGAACACGACACAAAAAAUUAUUUAGCUAUAUAUAAAGAGAGGUUCUAGAACUAGGCAAAAAAACACAAUGCACCAACAAUUGGAGUUAUCCGUGGGAAUCGACAAAACUUCGAGUUCCUGUUAUAAAUAAAAUAAUAAUAAUAAUAAUAAUAAUAAACAAUCUAAGCUUUGGUGAUGCUAGAGAAGAAUAUUUGCAAUAGCUACCCUCUCUUCUUAAAUUGAAUCUCAUUUCCCAAAUCCAAAUGAACCAAAUCCCUAACCAAUAAUACAUUAUUCUCUUAAUCCACCCUCAUACCUUAAACCCUAACCCUCCAUUGUGGCUCAUAUAUGUCUUCAAUCCAGAAACUCUAAUUCUGCAUCUAGGAAUCUUCAACGAUUCUGAAAACCCUAUUUUUAUCGGUAAAGAAAGCCAUGGAUGAAACUCCUUAAGCUCAAGUUGCGUGCGGACAAGAUACUCUGAAUAUGCUCAACUUCAUUACAAAGUUUGUCUUCAAUCAAGGCAAAUGCCUCUAAUUCUGGUAGGUCUUACGCGAUUGCGCUUUUAACAAACAAUAAAUUCAAAAAACUCAACAGGGGGUUUUGAUUCAUACUUCAACAGUAAGAAAGAAGAGAUUGAUUACAUCAUGAAUUGUCAAAUUCGUCCCUUGUGGCUGCACUACUUCUAGAAUAUGCAAGGUCUUAUAUAUUUUCGUCGUGGAAAACAAUGAUAGGGAUCUAGUCGUUGAGAAAUAAGUGACAAGCUUGGUCUCCAGUCUCUUCGCCAACACCAUUGGUACAUCCAGAGCACAUGUGCAACCUUAGGAGAAGGUCUUUAUGAGGGAUUUAAUGUUGAGACGAUGGAAUAUAAGAAUAUUAGUUUCACUGUUUGGGAUGUUGGUGGUCAGGAUAAGGUAUUUAUUUCCUUUCCUUUGUUUCUUUUUCCUUAUUUAAAUCGUCAUAUGCCUAUUGGUUACUUAUCUUGAGGACCACAUAUGUGAUAUUCCAACAUCAUUUUGUUUCCAUGAUUCAUGGAUUCUAGCUUUAACAUAGAUAUGUUGGAAUUUUUAUGUGUGGACUUACAUAAUCAAUUUGAUAAUAUCAUAAAUCAGUGUUAACUUAAUUUUUGCAUUGUGGUCCAUAAUGGGACUGGACACAUAUUGUUGCUUGAUUUUUUAUGGGCUCACCCUAAUUCACUUGACUAGCCCAUUAAGUCAAGUGGUCCAAAUAAAGUGUGUAAUGUGUAAUAUAUAUAUGAAUUUAUAUAUAUAUAUAUAUAUAUAUAUGUGUGUGUGUGUGUGUGUGUGUGUGUGUGUGUGUGUGCGCGCAUUUGGAGAGUUUCCUCUUUUCUUCUCUUGGAGAGCACUGCACGCACACACACUUGCACUUUGGACUGAAUUCUUGGGAAGCAAGGGAAGAGCUCAUUGAUCCCUAAUUCUCGCACCAUCACGCACCUGGAGCAGCUUAUUGGAUAUCAGAGGAGGAAGAAAUGGCUUCCUAUGACAUAAACCAAGGUAACCAGUUGAAUUUUUGCUAUUAAAUGCAUGCUUAAAUGUUAACAUGUGAUCCUAUGUUAUUUCAAUUCUCUUCAAUUGGUAUCAGAGCUAGCACAGAUGACACUUGAGCUGCAAUUUUGGUUUAAAAUUUGGUUUCUCGUUUUCUUAUUAUGGAAGCCAUUUUUUGGGGGUUUUUUUUUUGUUUGGUGUUAAUUCUUGGUUUUCAAGCCCAAUUGAGGUUGGAGACUUGUAGAGAAUAUUGUUUGGAGCAAAACCCAUCGAUUUUUGUGAUUUUUGGAGCUCAUUUGAUGAUAUUUCGAAAAUUAGGGCUUGUUUGGUUCUUGCUAUUAUGCGUUUUUUGUGCAUUUUUUUUGGGUUUGGAUUGAAGGAUUGAUGUUUGAGGAUGGAAAUCUAAGUGUUUUUUUCGAAAAAAAUGCGCAAAAUUUUGGGCGGAAUUUUUUUUUUUCUUCUCCAUAACCAAGCCGUGUUCAGCUGGAGGAGAAGAUGAACAGGGCCUUGCUGACGUCAUUAAAAAAAAAAAAAAAAUUUUGUUUUUUUGUUUUUUUGUUUUGUUUGCCUUGGUAUUCUUGGAUUGAUUAUGCAUAUGUUAGAAUUAUUAUGCAUUUGUUAAAAUUGACUUUAUUGGGACAAUUAUUAUAAUUAUUGUUUUUUUUUAUGGUAUAAUUUUUAUUUUAUAACAAUAAUGUUGUCCAAGGUCAAUUUUGUUAACUAUUUAAAUUUAUUGUGGCAAUAAAUAACACUUGUGUGAUUGCCUAUCGCAAUUCCAAGUGUGUCAAGUUGCGCAAAUUAAAUAUUUCAGUUUAUCAUGACAAUAGUGAACAUAUAUGUGGUUGGCUAUCGUGACCCUAUAUGUGUCAAAUUGUCUUUGCUGAGAUAAUUUAACUCCCACAUUUAGUUGCUUUAUUAUUGUGAUUACUAAGAUCCAUACGGGUAUUGUAAUUAUCCUAUCGAUGAUAAUAAUACUUGGUAGGAUGCUUAGAUUGGUGAAGGAAAUUAAUUGUAUAUUAUGAACCGUACUAAUUUUCUUUGCCCUUUCGGUAAUAAAAUUAGUACAUCUUGAUUGUAAUAUUUAAUUAGUUGUCCUUACCGCCGUGGAAUUUUCAAAAUUCCAAGCUAUUGCUAAAUUGAGAAAUUAUGGAAACUAGCAAAUGCAUGAUAUUGUAAUAACAUGCAUAUUGUUGAAUUUUGCUAUUUUCCAACUACCAGCAAUCUUGGUAUUUCUCUACAAUUGUCUGCCAUCAAACCUCUUACUGGAAAUAAUUUUGAAGACUGGUUUGAGUCUUUCAACGUGCACAUGACUCUGUAAAAUCUGAACUUGGCUUUGAAUGUUGAUGAGCCAAGUAAGCCCACUGAUGUGAGCUCUGCAGAUGAAAGAUUAUUUUAUGAAAGAUGGGAGCACUCCAACAGGAGUUGUUUGAUGGUGAUGAAAUAUACUAUGGAUAAAUCUAUCAAAGAAUGCGUGCCAAAGACGGAAAGGGCCAAAAACAUAUUGGAAUAUGUGAAGGCCAAUUAUACCAAGAUUGAUAAGGCAGAAAUGGCAACUCAUUUGAAGCUUCUCACAACUACUGUAUAUGAUAGAGUCAGUGGGGUUAGAGAUCAUAUCAUCAAGCUAAAGCACUACUUCAACAAGGCAAAUGAGAUGAAAGUGGAGUUGGGUGAAAAUUUUCUGAAAUGGUUGAUACUUGAGUCUCUUCCUGUUUCCUUUGAUGCAGUGAAGUUGACUUACAAUGCCUUGAAGGAAGAAUGGACUCUAGAGGAGUUGAUGUCCAUUGUAGUGUAACAUGAAGUCUCACUGAAGAAAAAUGAGACUCACUCCCUUACUCUUGUAACUGAUAAAGUCAAUAAUAUGAAGAAAAAACCUCCACACAAGAAUUUUGGAGGCUUUAAGCAGUUCAAGAAGAAAGGGAAUUCAAAUCAAGGUACCUCCAAUGCAUCUGCUUCUUCUAAUGCUGCAAAGAGUGAGAAAUUCAAGGGGAAGUGCAACUUUUGCCACAAUAUUGGCCACAAGCAAGCUGAUUGCUUCAAAUUUAAAAAUUGGCUAGAGAAGAAAAAGAAAGGUGAAAUUAUGGUUGUGGUUAAUUUGAAUGCAAACAUGAUUGAGACAAAUAUUGUUGAUGUUCAUGCCAAUUCUUGGUGGUUAGAUACUGGUGCCACUAUUCAUGUCACUAAUUCUUUACAGGAGAUGACAAACAAAAGGAGGCCGUCAAAGCAUGAAGAAUGUGUGUAUAUGGGUGACGGAAGCAAAGUGAAAGUGGAAUUUUUUUGGCAUGAUAAAGCUAAAGUUGAUCAUAGAAAGUUUUUUGUUGUUACAUAAUGUGGCUUUCAUACCCUCACUUCGAAGGAAUCUGAUUUCUGUAUCUUCUUUGGAUAGACAUGGUUAUUCUUUUCACUUUAGAGGUGGAAAAGUGGAUAGUUUUUGCAACUCAGUCUUAAUUGGCAAUGGUGUUUUGUUUGGAAAUCUUUAUAGUCUCAGUUUGCAUCAUGGUUCAUUAUGUGAUUCAUCUUCUGUUAAUUCUGUUGUUGGUUGCAAGCGUGCUAGAAUGAAUUUGAGUUCUUCCAUGUUGUGGCACAAACGCCUAGGUCAUAUUUCUAGGCAAAGAUUAGAGAUAUUGGUUAAAGAUGGUGUGCUUUCUAAUAUUGAUUUCUUAGACUUCGAAACUUGUGUUGUUUGCUUAAAGGGGAAGAUGACAACAAAGACCAGAAAUGAGAAGAUUGAUAGGUGUGGAAAUAUUUUAGACUUGAUCCACACAUAUAUAUGUGGUCCUUUGACACCAAUUGCUUUAGGGGGUUAUAAAUAUUUCAUCACUUUUAUUGAUGAUUUCUCUAGAUUUGGUUAUGUUGAACUAAUCCAUGAGAAAUCUGACUCCCUGAAUGUGUUUAAAGCCUUUAAGGCUAAGGUGGAGUUGCAAUUGGGAAAGCCUAUUAAAGCUGUGAAGUCUGAUAGAGGUGGUGAGUAUUAUGGGAGAUAUGAUGAGACUGGACGAAAUCCUGGACCAUUUGCUAAGUUUCUGUUGGAAUGCAGCAUUGAUGCGAGAUAUACAAUGCCAGACACUCCUCAACAGAAUGGGGUUGCAGAAAAGAGGAAUCGCACAUUGUUAGAUAUGGUGAGGUGCAUGUUGUCUAAUUCCUCUUUACCAGAAUUUUUGUGGGGUGAAGCCUUAAGGACUGUGGCAUAUAUUUUGAAUCAAGUGCCCAGUAAGUCUAUGCCUAAGACACCUUAUGAGCUAUGGUCAGGAAAGAAACCCAACCUUCACCAUUUCCAUGUUUGGGGAUGUAAGACUGAGGUUAGGCCCUAUAACCCACAGUUAAAGAAACUUGAUCCUAAAACCAUUAGUGGUUUCUUUGUUGGCUAUUGCAUUGGAUCAAGGGGUUCCAGAUUUUAUUGUUCAUCUCAUACCACCAGGAUCAUUGAGUCAGACAGGGCUGUAUAUUUUGAGGAUGAAGUUAAUGCUGAUCCAAAUUUUAUGCCUCGUGAGAUACAUUUUGGAGAAGAGCAUGUUGUGAUUCCUUUUCCUACAUCUCAUGUUCCAAAUGUGGAUAUUCCUAUUGUCCAACAGCCAGCCACUAAUCAAGGAGAGCAUGGUGAUCAAGUGGAAUCUGGCCUUCUUGUAGAUGAUACUGUUGUUAAUGAGNNNNNNNNNNNNNNNNNNNNNNNNNNNNNNNNNNNNNNNNNNNNNNNNNNNNNNNNNNNNNNNNNNNNNNNNNNNNNNNNNNNNNNNNNNNNNNNNNNNNUCCUUUUCCUACAUCUCGUGUUCUGGAUGUGGAUAUUCCUAUUGUCCAACAGCCGGCCACUAGUCAAGGAGAGCAUGGUGAUCUAUGUGGAAUCUGGCCUUCUUGUAGAUGAUACUGUUGUUAAUGAGAUUCCUUUGAGAAGAUCACAGAGGGUUCGUAGGCCGGCUAUUUCAGAUGAUUAUAUGGUUUAUUUGCAGGAGCAUGAGUAUGAUGGUUAUGAUGCUUUUGAUCCAGUCACUUACCAAGAAGCAAUUCAUUGUCCUCAAUUCACUUCUUGGAAAGAAGCCAUGGAUGAUGAAAUGAAUUUUAUGUAUAUGAAUGGUGUUUGAGACUUGGUUGAAUUGCCACAUGGUUGUAAACCAGUUGGGUGUAAGUGGGUCUUUAAGACCAAACAUGAUUCUAGAGGGAAAAUAGAGAGAUAUAAAGUUAGACUUGUGGUUAAAGGUUAUAGUCAAAGAUAAGGAAUUGAUUUCAAAGAAACCUUCUCACCUGUGUCAACCAAGGACUCUUUUAGAGUGAUUAUGGCCAUAGUAGCUCAUUUUGAUUUGGAGCUACAUCAGAUGGAUGUCAAGACAGCUUUCUUGAAUGGUGAUUUGGAUGAGGAGGUGUAUAUGGAGCAACCUACUGGUUUUGCAAAAGUUGGAAAGGAAGAUUUAGUUUGCAAGCUCAAUAAUUCCAUUUAUGGUCAUAAACAGGCUUCGAGGCAGUGGUAUCUGAAGUUUGAUAGGAUUAUCACCCAAAAAGGCUUUAAAGAGAAUACAGUUGAUAGAUGCAUAUAUUUGAGGGUCAGUGGGAGUAGUUACAUAUUUCUUGUUUUAUAUGUUGAUGAUAUACUACUCGCAUCAAAUGAUUCUGACUUGUUGAUUGAGACAAAGCACAUGUUGUCAACCCAUUUUGACAUGAAGGAUCUUGGUGAGGCUUCUUAUGUUUUGGGCAUAAAGAUUCUUCGUGAUAGGGCUAAUGGAGUGCUUAAAUUGUCUCAAAGAGCCUAUAUUGAAAAGAUAUUGAAGAGGUUCAACAUGCACAACUGUAAAUCUACUAAAGCGCCAAUUGUGAAGGGUGAUAAGUUUUCAAAGGCUCAGUGUCCUCAAAAUGAUGAUGAGAGAGAGGAAAUGAGGACCAUUCCUUAUUCAUCUAUGGUUGGCAGCCUUAUGUAUGCUCAAGUAUGUACACGCCUUGAUAUUGCUUUUGUUGUGGGCAUGUUGGGAAGGUACUUGAGCAAUCCUGGGAGUCAACAUUGGAAAGCAGCUAAGAAGGUCCUUAGGUAUUUGCAAGGAACUAAGGACUUAAUGUUGACAUAUCAGUGCACCAGCUUACUUGAUGUAGUUAGGUUUUGUGAUGCUGAUUUUGCUGGCUGCAUAGAUGAUAAGAAAUCCACUACGGGCUAUAUUUUUAUGCUGGCAAGAGGAGCUGUAUCUUGGAAAAGUGUCAAGCAGACACUUACAACAUCCUCAACUAUGGAGGCAGAGUAUGUGGCAUGUUAUGAGGCUUGUUGUCAUGCUAUGUGGAUGCGGAAUUUUAUUUCAACUUUGGGAGUUGUUGACUUAAUUUCUAGACCGCUGAAAUUAUUUUGUGAUAAUUUCGCAGCUGUUGCUUUCUCAAAGAACACUAAGAGUAUUUCUCGCUCCAAACAUAUUGAUGUAAAGUUCUAUUUUGUUAAGGAAAAAGUGGCAGAGUCUCUUAUUGAUAUUGAACACAUGUCCACAAAAAGUAUGUUGGCAGAUCCAUUAACAAAAGGCUUACCCAUAAUUGCAUUUCAGGAACAUGUAUCUCAAAUGGGGUUGUUGGAAGCCUAGGUUGUAUUAAGUUAGUGGGAGCCAUUUUUUGGUAUUGUAAUACUAUGUUUUUGUUGGAAGGAUUGUUAUUAUUGUACAUUUCUCUAUGAAUCAAGCAAUGAAACAUAUAUGAUUGCUUUUGAUUAUUUGUUUUUGAUGAGAUUCUAUGGGACAUUAAUUUAUGAUUAUGUAUAUGUUGUGAUGUUUGAUUAUGUAGUCCAAGUGGGAGAAUUGUUGAAAUUUUUAUGUGUGGACUUACAUAAUCAAUUUAAUAAUAUCAUAAAUUAGUGUUAAUUUAAUUUUUGCAUUGUGGUCCAUAAUGGGACUGGACACAUAUUGUUGCUUGAUUUUUUAUGGGCUCACCCUAACUCACUUGAUUAGCCCAUUAAGUCAAGUGAUCCAAAUAAAGUGUGUAAUGUGUAAUAUAUAUAUAUAUAUAUAUAUAUAUAUAUAUAUAUAUAUAUAUAUAUAUAUAUAUAUAUAUAUAGAGAGAGAGAGAGAGAGAGAGAGAGAGAGAGAUGUGUGUGCAUUUGGAGAGUCUCAUCUUUUCUUCUCUUGGAGAGCACUGCACGCACACACACUUGCACUUUGGACUGAAUUCUUGGGAAGCAAGGGAAGAGCUCAUUGAUCCCUAGUUCUCGCACCAUCACGCACUUGGAGCAGCUUAUUGGAUAUCAGAGGAGGAAGAAAUGGCUUCCCAUGGCAUAAACCAAGGUAACCGGUUGAAUUUUUGCUAUUAAAUGCAUGCUUAAAUGUUAACAUGUGAUCCUAUGCUAUUUCAAUUCUCUUCAAGAUAACCAUAGCAAAAAAUUGGAUUUGGCAAGUAUUUAUUGAGGUAAUUUUGAAAUCUUACGAAAACAUGGACAACAAUAUGGAGAAACUUUAAGUUUGAAUUUAGCACUUGUUGAACAUUAUAAGAAGAAUUCUUUUUGUUAUAGAAUUUUUUAGAACAAUUUAGGAAUCAUUGAUUCACAUGGGACAAUAGUGGUUUUUUUGUUUACUUGAUGGCAGAAUUAUUAAGAAUUUCGAAGAUUACCAAAAGUUUAUUGUGAUUUAGAUGGAAUUGGAUUGUCAAUGUGUUUUUUAUUUAUCAAUAUGCAUUUUGGAACAUACAUUAUUUUUUUGUGUAUAUCCUCGUAUGGAAGAGACAGGGAGCUGUCUUGGUAGUUAAGUUGGGGAAUUCAGUUCUUAGCAGAUGCACCUUAUUGCUUUCUUUCAUCUUUACCUUCAUAUUUUAACUAGUCAUUUUUAUUGAAAAAUCAGUUGGUGGCUUUAAAGUAUUUACUCUUGUUUUUUUACAUUGUUGAUUGAUAUUUUUGUCAUGCAUGUAGAAGAAAAUUGAUAAGAUCCCCGUACCUCUCGGGGCGGGGCGGGGUCGGGUGCUGGCCCAUGCCGCCGGGACCAUCAGUAGCAUCUUCCAAUUCUGGAACAACUUCAGAAUCUCGACGGCCUCCGUCAACACAUCGGAGUACUUGAUGUUGGUACAGUGGUUGUCGUCGUCCCGAACCACGCGGCUCGGGUGCAAGAUCGCCAGCAUGAGGACGGUGCCGGUGGACAUGAAGCACAUGAACCCAAUGUAAGUAUCAUCAUUCACGGACGCAACCUCGCUCCGAUUGUAGUUCAGAAUGAAGGGGAUGAGCCCGCCGAUGAGGCCCCCCAUAUUGAAGAUGCUCUAGAAAAGCGAUAUGUAUGAACCCUUCCUCCCCGGUGGGGGGUACGACGUCAUGAUAGCUCCCUGCCCCACCCAGAGCAGUCCUGCUCCGAUUCCGAGGAUGACGCUAGCGACAAUGGCGAAGCCCUGGUGCUGAUAGUGGUUGUAGUAAAUGAAAGAGCCGACGCAGAGGACGUAGGUUGAGCAACUGACUCUUCAUCUUCCCCAAACCUCAUUUCUCUUCUUACCCACUAGAUUAGAUCAAGUUAGAAUCAGAUUCAAACCCAGAGUCUCUAUGUAUGUUGGUAAUUAUAAUUUCGGGGCGGGGUGGGGUGGGUAACUACAAACCCAUACCCUCCCCGUACCCGAUUUGGGUUUCACAAAACUAUCCCAUACCUGUCCCAUACCCAAUUAAUUUAUUCCAUACCCGUCCCAAUAGGGGCGGGGCGGGGCGGAUGACCUGAUUGACCCGUGAAAUUGACAUUCCUAUGUAGGGCUUUCUAUAAUGUAAGUCCAAACUUCUCACUCAUGUCCAUAUCUUCUGGUUUCAUACCAUCUAAAUAAGAUCAAAGAUUUUAGUGGUUGGAUUUAAUUACUACUAAAUUGGUUUUUACAAUAGUGGCUUAUUAGUUUAAUAAAAUUUAGGCUUGACAAAAGAUGAGUCUUACACAUCAAACAGGCGGUAUGCAAUUCAAAAGGUGAUAUGUGGUGAAAUUUGGAAGGUUACAAAAUUAAGUCUUGCAAAAUGAAAUCAAAUCAAAUAAUUAGAGUCAAAAGAGAAUUAAAAAUAAAUGUUUUCUUAUUGAAAUUUUUCGUACACACAGAAAACAAAUCUUCUAAUUGAUGUCAAAAGAGAAUUAGAAAUAAAUAUUCUUUUGUUGAUAAAUUUUCUAAAUGAGAUAGGCCAAUUUCUAAAUUAAGGAAACAAAUUCUUUGAAUUAAGCAAUCAAAUCUUGUGGGGAUUCCAAAUUCAAUUUCCUAACUUCACCUAUAAAUAAUGGUGACUUCUUUCAAUGAGAAGGAUUGGACAAAAAGGUUCACAUAGGAAAAAAAAAAGCUUCACAAGACAUCCCUACAAGUUUGAGAAAUCAUGGAAGUACUACAUGCGCAUUCUUCGUCAUUUAACAAAUUUAUUUAGGAACAAGUCACUCCAUGCCCUCGAUUGAUUUUCAACUUCAAGAAAAAACUUUCACUGUAGUCCUUUGAAUUGUAAUCAAAGUGACUAAAUUAAAGAAAAACUGUUAUUUUAUAAAAAAAUAUUACCACAAAUAUUAUACCAUGCAAUUAUUAUAAUACAAUUUUUUUGUUCAUGUAUUUUUCCUAUAGUUUUUCUUAUUUUGUAAAACUUCCUAAAUUUUGUGCAUUAAAAUAUUUGUCAAGCCUGGUGAGACAUCUAUGUCUCUCAUCUCUUUUGCUAAAACAAAUAUUUGAUCAGUACUAAGAUGAUGGCAACCAAAAAGAUUCAAGUUGCAUAUGUCCACAAGGAUUGACACACAACACCUCUACGAGCCUCAUAACUCAUAGCAAAGUAGAAACAACCAUUGCAUGUUCAAUAAAGCAAGCAAAUGAACACACUCAUUUAUUAAAAUUACCAAUGGGAACACACAACAAUUAGUAACCACUCAUCACCUUCGCCUAUUUAGAGGCAAAGGGCCAAAGUCCUCGUAGUAGGGAAAAAUGUCUUCAACACUAAGGGACUUUGGAGAUAAGUUUCCCUACUAUGUUGUUGGUGUCAAUUUCAACAUCGACUCACAUUCUGAAUCACCGAUUGAGAAGUUAAAGGAGGAUAACUCCUCAAAAUAUUCUAACUCCUUCAUUUCUUUCUUCUCGAUGAUUAUGCCGGUAAUGAAAAAAAAAACAAAAAAAACAUUAAAUUCAUAGAAGAAUAAUUAGUUGAGAUGACUCAAGUGUUAGGAACCCCAAAUUACUCCAUUCUCAUGCCUCGGAUUGGGUAAAGUGCAUGCAAAUCUAUCCUAGGCUCUCUAAAUCUAUCGCAACAGAUAAACAGAUAUUAAAAAACAAUAAGAAUACCAUAGAAAACAUAGAUCUAGAGACUAAAGCCACAUACCUUUGAUUUGAAUGUUCCCGGAUCAAUUCCAAUUGAUGUAAAUAACCCUAAAGUCAUAAUAGAUCUCGUAAACACCAUGAUCUUUUGCCCGAUGACUCUUCCUUAUGUCUAAGCACUGAAAUGGUGGAGAUCUCAAGGGUAAAGGCUAGGGUUCUCUCUGAGAAUGACAAGACAUUGAAACUCUAACCUUAAAGGGGUAUUUAUAAGCUUCCUACUAGGCUUAAGUGACUUAAGCCCACUAUGGGCUUAGGUCACUUAAUUUAGCCCAAAAAGGUUGCUAAUUGAUUAAUUAACCAUAUAAGGCCCUAAUUAAUCAAUUAGCCUAGUCCAAAGAUGACACUCACUUAUCCCUAUGCAACCUUACAUAAUUACUAAAAUGCUCUUAUGCACAAAAGUGAACUAAUAAAACAUUCAACCCUCAUAAACCGUGUCAUCAAGGAAUAUGAGCUCAAAACGGAGACCACUAGGACUCAUAGGAGUAUUGGCUCCUCAUAAUCAAAUUUUAGAAUUGACUCAACAUCCCACUAUAGAAAGUCAAUUACACUCCAGUACCCUAUGUAAAUUACAACGAGACACCAAGUGCUCAGGUCCGUGACCUGGUGUCCAUAAUCUAACAAGGUAGUACUAUCACCUAUCAAGAUUACCUCUUAAGGUUGAGAGUCCAUGCAGUUUAAUAACUUGGUGAAUCAUAACAAUUGAUAGUCUUAUGUCAUGAUUUACCAUAGGUCCUGUCCAAUAUGCAUGACAUAAACUAAUAUACUCACCAUAGGAAGCUCAUCCUUACAGCCAAGACAAGUCAUCCCUUUAAUUAGGAGGUGGUGCACUAUAGUCUCAACUGGAUUGCCCCAAUCCAUGAACCAACUAUGGACAACUUAUCUACUAAUAGAGAACUCAUGACUUGUAUUUUUUUAUGCAACUCCUAAUGCACCCAAGUCAUGUACAAUGUAAGAGACAUGGGCUAAAUACUCAAAUCAAUGUCAAUAUACCAAGGGAAUAGCAAUCUAACUUUGUUACAUCAUGUCUUGCUUUUUGGGGCUCAAUCCGAACAUCAUGUCACUGCCAAACUCACAAGACCAUGAAUGAGAAAUAUCUACAAAUAGUCUCCCUUAUGAACAAAGUUAAAGUAUAUUUAGGAGCAAAAUAGAGUUGAUUUGAGUAAAAGACUCACUCACCCUCUAAAUGCAUCUUAAGGUGAUGCACCACAUGCAUCUAAUUCAAUACAAGUUGGGAGGCAAACCAUAAAAUCUACCUUAAUGGUGUCACUAUCUAUGUAAUAACUUUAAAACAUGUCAACUAAUACUCUCAAAGCGUGGUAUGAUGGACAUCACAAAGUACACUAUGUACUCUAAACCUCACACCUAGAGGAUUGAUAACUUACAUAUGUUUGUGGGUUAUCAAACUCCAAAGUUUCAUUUAUUUGAUGGAAAUGAAAAUCCAAAGCAACACAUUACCCACUUCAUUGAAACAUAAAUCGAUGCAAGAAAAAAAAGUGACUUCUUGGUUAAACAAUUUGUUUGGUCCAUCCAAGAGAAUGUUUUUUAUUGGUACACAAACCUUACGCCUGUGUACAUUGACAAUUGAGACCAAAUGAAGCAUGAAUUCUUCAAUUGCUUCUAUAGUACCUAAUGAACUAUAAGUGUGAUGAAGCUUAUGAAUACUAAGUAAUGAAAAGAUGAGUCACUUGUUGACUACAUCAACCACUAACAUUCUUUAAGCUUAUAAGGAUAAAUUAUUUAAGGUGUCAAGAGUAGAGAUUUGUAUACAAGGUAUACCCUAGUGGCUUUUAUAUAUCCUUUAAGGCAUGAAACUCUACACCUUUGAAGAGUUGGCUACACAAGCACGUGAUAUAGAACUUGGUAUAAAAAACAAAUGCAAGUGAAAACAUGUCUAUUGAAGAAAUUAAAGAUAAUACUAUUGGGGGCAAAACCAUCAGUGAUAAGGAUGAAGAGAGUGUGACAUCAAAUUUCACUACAAUUAUUUUCAAACCUCAACACUUUAUUAUGCUCUAAAAAUAGAAAAAAGUUUAUCCUUCAAGUAAGCAAAAGUAGACAAAAUCUACUCAUAAGUUGGAGUUCGGUUCAUUCAAACAAGAAGUUUCUACAAAUAUUCAAAUGACAAAUAAGGUGAAGCCUAUGGAUAUACUUUAACUAUCCAAUAUAACAAAAGAUUGAACAAUAAUGAUGUUCUUUAAAGGAUAAGCCUAAACUGCAUAUUGCCCUUAGUCUACCAAAACUUAAACUAAAGUAACAAAAAAAAAAGUCAAAAUUAUGUUAAAGAAAAAAAAUCUUUGUUGGCAAACUUUUUAAACUAAAGGAACAAAUUCCUUAAAAUUAAAAAAAAAUUAAAAUAAUUAAAAAAUUAAAAAUUUUAAAAUUUUAAAAAAUUUAAUAAAUAAAAAAUAAAAGUCAAAUUUGGAGAUUUGGAUUCUUCAACUUCUCCAAAUCUUAGUGUCCUUCAGCAUGAAGCAUUCUAGAAAGGAAGAAGAUACAACUCAAAAGGCAAAUUCAAAAUCAAGCUUCAAAAGAUAGGAUCAACCUCUAAACAUUUUUCAACAAGUCCAUGGAAGAGUGUCAAACACAAUAGAAAAGUAUCAUUCAUCCACCUUCAAUACAAAGAAGAAAAAGUUGGAUUCUUCAAAACACUCAAGGAAAUUAUUUAUAAGCUUACUUGAGAUCAAGUCAUCAUUGAAUCUCGAUUAAACUUUGCUCCAUGAACACAUGUAUUCCACCCUUGGAUUGAAAUCAAAUCUAAUCUUGACAAUUUUUUCAACAAGAUUAUGAAAUAAUAUCAAACACAAUACAAAAAAAUGUCAUUCAUUGAUCUUCAAGGCCAAAAAUCAAGAUCAAAUCAAAGGAUUUUUUUUUCUUCAAAAUAUUUAAGAAAGAUCUUCACAAAUUUGGUUGAGAAAAAGUCAUCUUUGAAUUUCAGUGAAACUUUAUUUUGAGAACAUGCAUUUAUUGCCCUUAGAUUAAAAUCAAAACAAGUGAUGAUCCUUAGAGCCUAAGCCUAAACUGUAUAUUGCUCCUAACCUGCAUGAGCUUAAACUGUAUAUGGCAUAAAAAAAAAUCCACUAAGUUAAAAACCUAAAAAUGUGACUUAGGCAAAAGUUAGGACAUGCUCACAAGAUUAAAAUCUUUAGUCUUAGCAAAAGUUAGAGAAAUUUUUAAAAAAAUUACUUUGAAUUACAUUUGAAUUAAUCUCGUCUCUAUGAAAGUUAUGUGGCCAACUUAGGAAACUCCUUGAGUUUAGUCACCACCACCAAAAAAAAAAUGAUAAAUAGGAGAAGAAAUAGAUAGAUAUUAAAUAUAGUUCCAAUUUUAAGUAAAUGUUAACAAGUUGGAUACCUUUAUACAUCAAAGUCAAGUUCAUUCAUAUGAGUGAAGACUUUAAUACUUAAGUUGCAUUAGGUGUUAAAAAUAUAAUACUAUUCUACGUCAAAGUUAUGACUUUUCUAUAUGGAUGUUAAAUAUAGUUCAAAAUUUAAUUAAGUGUUAAAAAGUUAAAUACCAUUAUGCAUCCAAGCCAAGUUAAGCUAAGACAAUUCACAUGGGCGAAGACUUUAGCACUUAAGCACCAAAAAUACAACAUCAUUAUGUGUUAAGGCAACAACUUAUUUACAUAAAGGUCAAACUUCAUAUAUUCAUUUUUUUGGAUAUUUAAGUUUGUUAAAAAUUUCUAUUAUAACGUUAAAAUUUGGAAGACCAUAAAAUUAAGUCUUGAAAAAUAAAAUAUUAUCAAACAAUUAAAGUCAAAAAAGAAUUAAGAAAAAUAUAUGUUCUUUCCUAAACAAAGGUAAUAAAUCUUUCAAUUAAAGUUAAAAGAGAAUUAAAAAUUAAUAUUUAAUUUCUUGCUGGGAAAUUUCCUAAAUGAAUGAGAUGAGUUGCUAAAAUUAAGGAACCAAAUUUUUUGAAGUAACCAAUCAAAUCUUAGGAAUUCCAAAUUCAAUUCCCUAACUUCACCUAUAAAUAACAAUAACUUUUUUUAAUAAAAAGAUAAAAAAUAAAAAUAAAAAUAAAAACCUUCAUAUAGGAAAAAAGGCUUCACAAAGAGAAAAAAGUUUCACAAAACAUUCCUACAAGUCCAAAAUAUCGUAAAAGUAUCACACGUAUUCUUCGUCAUUCAAUAAAUUCAUUCGGAACAAGUUAAUCUUCAAUUCGAAGAAAACAUUUUCAUUGUUAUCCUUCAUAUUGUGAUCGAAGUGAUUAAAUAAGAGAAAAAAUAUUUUUUGUAAAGAAUAUUAUCACACAUAUUGUACUCCAAAAUUAUUUUAAUACAAAUUUUUUAUCCGUAUAUUUUUUUUUAUAGUUUUGCUUAUUUUGGAAGACUUUUCAAAAUUUGUGCAUGUGCGUAGACCAUCUUCAAGCAUGAAUGCUCCCAACCAAAGGAGUGAAUAAGAGAAGCCUACACCAAGUGUACCAUUCGAUGAGCUAAUGACAUUCCAGAACCUAUGCUUCUUCAAGAACUAAAUGGAAUCAGCUCAAAAUCUUGGCCUCUAGCAUCAAUGUCACGCUCUAAAAUCCUUUCAGGCACAAACACAUUUGGGUGUGACCAUAAACUUGGAUCUCGGCCAAUAGCUUAUCCAUUUACCAGAAUUUGUAGAUUUUUUGGUGCUGUGAAGCAAAUGUAUCAUAUAUAUCACUUCAACAUCAGCUUGGGCUUUCUAGGGAAUUGUUAGUGGGGCUGGUGGGUGCAACUGAAAGGUCUCUUUAACUAUGGAUUGUAAGGAAGCUUUUGAUGUCUGAUUCUUGAACUAUCCCACCCUUGCCUAGAAUUUCUUGGACCUCCUUUUGAGCUUUGCCAUUGUUUCCGGGUUGCGUAUUAACUCAGCCAUUGCCCACUUUACAGUGCUCCAAGUUGUGUUAGUUUCUGCAACAAAUAUGUCCUGAUCAUACAAACCAAUUAAUCUGUGAAGAUGCACUUGUUUCAUAAUGUGAAUGGAAAAAAUGAGAGAACAAGUGAAUGGAACCAGUUAUAUGUCCUGAUCAUAUAACCUAAAAGACGUGUUUCUGAUUCAGAUAUAUCCUGUAUCAUAAUGUGAAUGGAGAGGUGAGAGAACUCUAAUUUUAAAAUGAUCCAAGGGAAUUUUGGCUGUGUUGUCUGCAUAUCUCUUAACAUAGAACUGAAUGCAUAUUGGCCACUCUAUUGUAGCCACAAACUACUACCAGGGCAAGAUCAAUCGUCUAGAGUAUUUAUCUUUCCUUUCUUGCAAAAGUCAAUUUCAUAUUAUCUUGAAAAAUGCUAACCGCAUUAUGCUUACAAUUUUCUUUUGCUUCCAAUUAGCCAUCUAUGAUCCUUUCUCUUGCUUUCUCAUAUAUAUACUGCAGUUUUAUUGUGAUUUUCCUUUAUUGUAUUUGAAAUUGAUCUCUUAGUUUUAUUCUUUCCUUUACUAAUUUCCCUUCAAAAAGUGAAAAAGUUCUCUCUAGUUGACCAGAAUCAACAAUUUAUGUGAUUGACUUAUUGGUAACUGCAAAAAUUUCAUUUAACGACACUAUGCACCUAAUGACAAAAAUUUCGUGCAAUGACACUAUUUGCUUAACAACAAAUUUCUUUUAACAACACCAUUUGACUAAAAUUCCCAUAUUCGUCUUAAUGAUAUCAGCUAAAAGCUUUGAGUCGUCUAAUUGACAUUGGCUAAAAUUCCCUAAUUCAUCUUAGUGACAUCAGCUAAAUGCCUUGAGUCAUCUAAAUGACAUCAGCUAAAAUUCCUUGAUUCAUCUUAAUGACACAUUGCCAAAAUGCCUUGAUGCGUCUAAAUGAUAUCAUUCAACUCAAUGACAAACUUGCCUUAAUGAUAACGUUAUGUCUCAAUGAGAAAAUUUAGUCUCAAUUUCAUCAUUACACCUAAAACUCCAUCAUACUAAGUGUUACUCAAACCAAAUGUCAUCAAGCUAAGUGCCAUCAUGAAUAAACAUUUGUCUAGAUAACAUACCCAUCAAAGCGAAGUAUCAUGCUAUAAACCAAACAAUCAUAAAUUACAACAACUAUAAAAAAAAUGAUGAGUUUUGUGAACAUAAAACAUUCAUUCAAAACAAAGUAAAUCUAACAUGUAUGCAAAAAGUAAUAACGCAAAAAUAUAAAAGGCAAACCCAUAUUCUAAAUAAUAUGAACUUAAACAAGCUUUUCGCAGUAAGGGGCAAAGUCUCUUUAUUAAAUUUUUUGUUCUUUUCUCGCUCAAAAGAUCUCUUAAUGGCUCCUUUUAAACGAGAAAGUGGGGCAAACGAAGUGAGCACUUGAGUAACCAUGAUGAAGAUGGCAACCAAGCAUCUAUGUUCGACAGCUACAUGAACCAUCCAUGUAGAAAAGAACUUGAAGACGGUCAUGUUAACACGAACAUGGCCUCAUCCCAAAUCCUAGAUAAUAUUUUUCAAUUACAUAUUUAACCAAUGGGAACAUGACACGUAGAAAGCCGUUUAAUUAUAUAUAAGGGGAGGUUCUAGAACAGGGCUAAAAAACAGAGUGCACCAACACUACGUGCUACUUAAUUACAUGGAACCAAAAAAUACAAUUAAACCUUGAUGGGAAUAGCCCGUAGAGGCUGGGCCUUCUGUAAUGUAAGCCCAAACUUCUCACUCAUGUCCAUAUUUUCUGGUUUCAUACCAUCUUCAAGCUUCCAAGCAUGGGAAUAAAGAAGAGAGGCCAACAUCAGGUGCACCAUCCUAUGAGCUAAUGGCAUUCCAGGACAUAUUCUUCUUCCAGCACCAAAUGGAAUCAACUCAAAAUCUCGGCCUUUGACAUCAAUAUCACACUCUAGAAACCUCUCAGGCAUGAAUGCAUUUGGGUUGGGCCAAGUGCUUGGAUCUCGACCAAUUGCCCACGCAUUAACUAGUACUUGUGAAUUCUUUGGAAUUGUGAAGCCACAUAUUUCUACGUCUGUUUCAGCUUUAUGGGGAACUAGCAGUGGGGCUGGUGGGUGCAACCGAAAGGUUUCUUUAACUAUGGAUUGUAAGUAAGGGAACUUCGAGAUGUCUGAUUCUUGAACUAUCCCUUCAUUCCCAAGGACUCCUCGGAUCUCCUUUUGAGCUUUUGCAAUUUUUUCCGGGUUGCAUAGUAACUCUGCCAUUGCCCACUCUACUGUGCUUGAAGUCGUGUCAGUUCCCGCAACAAAGAGAUCCUGAUCAUACAAAGCAAUGUUAGAAUUAAGGUUUCAUUGAUCAUAAUUUGCAAUUUGCACUUACCAAUGUUUUCUACAUGAAAUCUCAAGAAAAAUGUGUGCAAGAAGAAACUCCAAGGAAGACUGACUUCUAAUUCAUUGCUUACUUAAAUUUUCUAGGUCAAUUCAGUUUAAUAACUAUAACAAAUUUCAUAAAUGCAUCAAAUUGAAUGUGACGUAUGUGCAUAAAGACAAUUAAAUGAUUUCAUUUCCAUAGUCAUCCGAAAACGCCCUUGUAAAAUUUAACAGACAAAAGGAGUACUGAUUACUAAUAGUGAAGAUGUAGUUACCCACCAGAAGCAAAUGUUUUAUAUCACUGCAGCUCCACUCAUUGUCAUUUUCUUUUGUGAGAUUGAGGAGGGCAUCUAGUACAUCCUUGCUUGCUGAUGAAGUUUUUGAUUGCAACCUUUGAUUUAUUAUACCAUCAAAAAUAUGAAAUAAUUUAUUAAAAUAAAUUUUCAUGUUCCACCGUAUACCUUGUGGAUCAAUCAAUCUAAAGGCCGGGAAAUAAUCUACAAAGUUGGGUCUUCCAACUCCUUCCAUCACACCCCGGGCAAUAUUCUUGAACUCUUGUGAAAAAUUAGAACCAUGAUGAGCCAAAUUAAUGGAGAAAAUAGUGUUCGAUAACAAAUUAAGGCUUGCUGUGAAGACUGCUCCAUUAAUAUCGACUGCACAACCCCUACUGCAACAUUCUUCCACAUGAUCCAGCAGUUCCUGUACAAUUUUUCUCCGAAGGCCUUGGCUGGCAUCGAGCUGCUGCACCGAAAAUAUUUCCCUGGUGCAUAUCUUCCUAAUCUUUCGCCAAUGCACUGAUGCUGGAACCCAUACCACUGAAGACUCAUGAUGAUUAUGCGCUCUGACAGCAUCCGGGACUGUUCGGCUGGAGAAAGCUUGAUCAUUUCUGUGUAGGACCUCUUUUGCAGUUUCUGAAGAGGAAAUGACUAUGGUAGCAAUACUCCCAAGCUUGAGAGACAUUACAGGACCAUAAGUUUUGGAGAGAUUUGCAAGUGAUCGAUGGGGUUUGUCCCCAAGUUUGAGGAUGUUGCCGAUGAUUGGCAAAGGCCGGGGGCCUGGAGGGAGGCUGGCUGUACCAGGUUUCCGGCCAAUCGGACUGAGUUUGAGGAGAUGAAUGCAUGUCCACACAAAGGAAAGCAAAAGCAAAAAUGUUAUGUAAUCCAUUGUCUACUUCUUUUCACUCUUUUCCUCUCUUCUCUUGUUUAUGAGACACGGGAUUCUCCCUAUCGUCUCUGGUAUCUGUAUGGAAACAUGUGGACCAUGAAAUACUAAUCAACAAAACAAUGGUCUACUUUUUAAUUUCUUAUUUGGCUUUAGUGUUAUUUUCAUGAAAAAUCAAGGACGGACCACAGCCAACUUAAUAAACCCGUGAGUGAUUCUGCUACGAAACAACACCAACCAUGGAAAACAAAAUAAUGCUGCAAAACUAACAUAUAACACUGUUAAAAAAAAUCACCAUUCACAGACAAAGCCUUUUACCCAUACAAAUAUACACUAAAGGAAAAAUAUUUAUACAAUAAUCAUGUACGCUUGUCUUUAUGGGUCUUUACUAAUCCUCAAAACUUCUCUUUAUAAGUCAUAUAACCUUUUCUUGGCUUAAUGAAGAUGAGUUUUCAUUCUUCACUUUAAUUUUAAAAGUUAAUAAUCAUUUUUAAACAAAUUUUAAAAUAGAAAACUAACACACCUACAAGCUAUCAAUUUCUCAUUCUUGUUUAUCAAACCAACAACAUUUAUGUUUUACAUAGAAAAAUCAUAUAUAUAUAUAUAUAUAUAUAUACCAAUGUCAUUAAAAAUAUUCUUUUUCUUCUUAUUGUUAUAUAUAUAUAUAUAUAUAUAUAUAUAUAUAUAUACCAAACAUAAUUUUGUUUUUAUUUUUAAAAUAAAAAUAGAAUUAGAAUAUACAAAUUUAAUUAAACAAUUUUUAGUUUUCUACUUCUAGAAAUAGUAAAAAGAUCAAGAUCGUACAUUCCAAUAAUUUUUACUUAUUUAUAAUCUUUGGUGAAAAUAAAAAUGAAAUAAAGCCUGAAAGAUUAGGAUGUGAUGUCAAUAUGAUCAAUACUUGAGUUGUAAGUUGGCAUGGGGUUUAAUUAAAUAAAUUAUGGUAUAUAAUUAAUUAAUGGGCUUGGUCUUGUCUUAACGGACGAAACCACUUAGAGGAAGUGUGAAUAGGUAAGAAUAACUUUCUAACAUCGAUCUCCCUCCUCGUUAGGAUCCAAUCAAUGAAGUAGGCUACUGCUAUAUGAACCUGGAUGCGAUGUGAGGCAGUAUAGAAUGUACUACACUCAAAAAUACCAAAUUGUCAAGCUGGUUUGAUCACAUCAAUCAAUGGAAUACAUAUGGGUAAGAGACAAGCCUCCUCAUAAAAAGCAUGAGCAAUAGCCGCACACUCAACUCGUAAGAGGGUCAGGAUAUUAGAAACCAUAGGAGGAUCAAUGCCUUAAUAUAGACACACAUCCCCAAGUCAAUUUUUGACAAAUCUAUCAAGAAGACACAACAAAGUCUAAACCAUUUAUCAAAACACUAAAAUAUACUCUAGGAAUAUACUAAUAAUGGAUGUUAUCAUAGAACAUCCAAGUGCAGUGAUUAGGGUAUAUAGCCAUUUGAAUAGACAUAAUAGCCUUCCACCUCUAGUCAUAGACAAUGUAGGGAAUACGAGUACCCAAACUUAGAAAAAAUCAUAUAGCACACUUUGGCUCAACAUGUCUCUCAAAGAUUAUAUCAUAGAAUGCAAUCCUAUGUUUCAUAAAAUAGAAAUAAUGAAUGGGAAGGUUAUAUUGUAUAGGAUUGAUGAAUAGGUGUCCUAACAUGAGGAGACCUAGAAUGAGAAGCAGCCUACUUCUAGACCCACCUCUACCACAAGUCAUAGGAAAAAUAAGAGAAAAUUUUGGGAAUAGAAAUUAAUCUAGGAAAGUGUGCGAUCAAAAGUGUCCUAAACAUUGAGCUUAGAGGCCCAUUAAAGUCAAAUAUAAAGAGAAAUUGCAAGAAAAUCUUAUGAAGGAAGAGCAACGAAUGUUAGAAGAGAAAGGAGAUAAAAAUGGAGGCAUAUAGUGAAUAUCAAGUGUUGGUGCACUUUUAAAAUUAAGGACAUUCGAAUAUCUCAUAAAGAGUGUGUAGACCCUUAAUUUUAUUCAUAUUUAUAUGAUAUAAGCUUAUUUAGAUGUAGUCUUUUGACUUACCAUUUCUCUUGACUUUAUUUUAUUCCAUUUUAUAAUUAUUUUUAUUUAACUUUUUCACUUUUAUUCUCUAUUCUUUCUCAGUUCUUCCUUACCUUGCUUUUCUUUCUCUCCACACAUCACCAUACGUGCACCAUGAUUACACUUCCAUUAAUUUCUAAAGAAACAAACAAUUUCCUCCAUUUGUUUUUUAGAAAGGAAUGCGGGUAUAUCUAAGCCAAACUAGAAGUGGGACUUGUGUUGUUGAGUGAUCAUUGUACAUUCAAAUCUAACAAUAAGAUACUGGAGUCCUCCGCGUUAAUUAAUUUUCCAGAUGAUAUAUUGUUUGUCAACAUAAUGUUUGGGAAACACCCCAAUUUGCCACUUAGUUGGCCAAUCUCUACCAUCCUACCAAACACAUUUCUUUUUCUUUCCUUCACUCACUGUUUUACAAAUCUACUUGCAGGGUAACUUUCAACAAUGAAGGAUGGACCACAGCCAAAAGAACGGAUUGUACUAUAGCGCAUGGAAAACAAUAAUGCUGGAAACUAUCUUUCCUUUUUCUCACUGUUUUUCAAAUCUACUUGUUGGGUCGCUUUAAAAAAAAUGAAGGAUGGACCAUAGGCGGAGCUAGAAAAUGACCUGAGAGGGGCCAAAAUAUGAGAACAUAUUUCAGAGGGACAUAAAUGAUUGAAUUUACCUAGUGAUGUAGUGGCAAUGAAAGAUAUUUUUAUUCUUUUCCUAGGUGGGACAAGCACCAUGUGGCUCUGCUCCUGGAUGAACCACAACCAAAAGAAAGGACAAACCGACAUUGCUUGUACUGUAACACUUAGCAUGGAAAACAAUAAUGCAUGUUUUAAAAACUGAUCAAUCAAAGCCUGGUCCAGUUCGAUUCACAUGUUGAGCUGAAGCCAAGGAACCUACUGAACAGAGGUUGAGAUGGACCAAAAAUACCACAUACCACAAAUCUAUAGUAUGGGACCAUUGAUCGAAGAUUCAAAGAAAUGACUGUGCAACCACUAGAUCUAGUGCUAGUUUUGUUAUAUAACAGUUGCAUUAUUAGCUAAAUUUAUCCUACUUAUUUAUGUAAUAAUAAAUUUGAAAAAAUAAUAUAAGCAAAAUAACCUACUAUCUUUUAAAACUAUAAAAUAAUCUAAUAUUUAAUAUGUAAAUAAAGUUAAAUAAUAUUAUAUAUAUAUAUAUAAUAUAAAAUAUGAAAAUGUUAGCUGACUUAUUUCAUGAGCAUUUUUGUUUCAGUCAUCUAAAAAAAUUAACUCUGUUAUUGUUAAACUAUGAUUCCCUGCAAUAAAAACACUACAUUAAACCAUGAUUUCGAUUACUCUGAUGAGCAUAUUCCUCCUUAGUUCUUUCAUCUAUAUUGUAGCACAAGACUAUUACAACUUCUAUCCACCCUUUUAGCUGUUUCUCAUGCAAGUGACACAACAGAGAAAAAACAAAGGUCCCACCUAUUGUACCUAAAUCCUUCUUUAUUUAUAUCAUGAUUUUAUAUAUUUAUACUACCGUUUAGUAAUUAUAUUUUAUCAAAUAUUUUGAAAACCUUGGGUGGGUAUUAGGUAAUAAUAGGGUACAUAAACAACAUAGAAGUUGCAUUCAUUAAAACAUAAAAAUACAAUCAAACUUUGAUUGGAAUAGCCCGUAGAGGCUGGACCUUGUGUAAUGUCAACCCCAAUUUCUCAUUCAUGUCCAUAUCUGCUGGUUUCAUACCAUCGUCAAGCUUCCAAGCAUAGGAAUGAAGAAGAGAGGCCAAUAUCAGGUGCACCAUCCUAUGAGCUAAUGGCAGUCCAAGACAUAUUCUUCUUCCCGCACCAAAUGGAAUCAACUCAAAAUCCCGGCCUUUGACAUCAAUAUCACACCCCAAAAACCUCUCAGGUACGAAUGCAUUUGGGUUCGACCAAGUGCUUGGAUCUCGACCGAUAGCCCAUACAUUAACUAGUACUUGGGAAUUCUUUGGAACUGUGAAGCCGCGUAUUUCUACAUCAGAUUCAGCUUUAUGGGGAGCUAGCAGUGGGCCUGGUGGGUGCAACCUAAAGGUCUCUUUGACUAUGGCUUGAAAGUAAGGGAGCUUUGAGAUGUCUGAUUCUUGAACUAUCCCAUCCUUGCCAAGGACUUCUUGGAGCUCCCUUUGAGCUUUUGCCAUUUUUUCCGGGUUGUGUAGUAGCUCUGCCAUUGCCCACUCUAU
Molecule: long non-coding RNA, 34236 nt
Filed under: Vitis vinifera (wine grape)
Lineage: Eukaryota; Viridiplantae; Streptophyta; Magnoliopsida; Vitales; Vitaceae
Description: long non-coding RNA (VVIN_LNC005182)
Source: RNAcentral